RNAcentral lists this long non-coding RNA (469 nucleotides) under Pan troglodytes (chimpanzee). RNAcentral describes it as "long non-coding RNA NONPTRT003524". Lineage: Eukaryota; Metazoa; Chordata; Mammalia; Primates; Hominidae. The record is from RNAcentral.
UGGAACUUCACAUUCCAGGAUGGGUGGCUUUCGGGGCCUUAGCACAUCCAUUUCUUGGUCAGUGUUACUUGUUAGGGUUCUUCCUUGAAACACCAGGGACUGAGGAACAAGAAAAGUCUGACAACUCUUACAGAAAUGGUAAGCUACACUUGCUGCUGCUGCUACCACCCGCCACCACGCCCAGCUAAUUUUUUUUUUUUUUUUUGGUAUUUUUAGUAGAGACGGGGUUUCACCGUGUUAGCCAGGAUGGUCUCGAUCUCCUGACCUCGUGAUCUGCCCACCUCGGCCUCCCAAAGUGCUGGGAUUACAGGCAUGAGCCACCGCACCCGGCCCAGGAAAAGUUUUAAGAGCAGUACAUAUAAGUUAGAUAAUGGUACAUGUAAGUCUAGUACUCCAAUUUCAAUUAACAUUUAAAUCUCAAACUACAAAACAUUUCAAGCUCUGCAUAGAUACAUUUUGGUGUUUUCUG